UCAUAUGGUAUUAGUACCCUGAAAGCACCUGAUCUUGACCACUCUCAGAAGGUAAGUAGGGUCCAGCCUGGUUAGUACUUGAAUGGGAGAAACACAUGCGCUAUAUUAU
Molecule: ribosomal RNA, 109 nt
Filed under: Jaculus jaculus (lesser Egyptian jerboa)
Lineage: Eukaryota; Metazoa; Chordata; Mammalia; Rodentia; Dipodidae
Source: RNAcentral